AUCACGCUGCAGGUCACCUUUCCCCCUAGUGCCAUUACUAUCUUGGGAUCUGCAUCCCAGACUGAGAACAAGAACGUGACACUCUCGUGUGUCAGUAAGUCCAGUCGCCCGCGGGUCCUGCUACGAUGGUGGCUGGGCUGGCGGCAGCUGCUGCCCAUGGAGGAGACAGUCAUGGAUGGACUGCAUGGCGGUCACAUCUCCAUGUCUAACCUGACAUUCCUGGCGCGGCGGGAGGACAACGGUCUGACCCUCACAUGUGAGGCCUUCAGUGAAGCCUUCACCAAGGAGACCUUCAAGAAGUCGCUCAUCCUGAACAUAAAAUAUCCCGCCCAGAAACUGUGGAUUGAGGGUCCCCCAGAGGGGCAGAAGCUCCGGGCUGGGACCCGGGUGAGGCUGGUGUGUUUGGCUAUCGGGGGCAACCCAGAGCCCUCCCUCAUGUGGUUCAAGGUUGGUGCCAUGCCAGGGCUAUGGGGGUGGCCAGGAAUGUGGGGGAAGGACCAGGCCCCUUCUCUCCUUCAAAAUCUUGGGCAAUCUUGGAAAAAGAUUAAAUUUCUUGAAAAG
RNAcentral lists this small RNA (561 nucleotides) under Pongo abelii (Sumatran orangutan). RNAcentral's name for it is "retained intron". The record is from RNAcentral. Lineage: Eukaryota; Metazoa; Chordata; Mammalia; Primates; Hominidae.